Molecule: transfer RNA, 73 nt
Filed under: Bos taurus (domestic cattle)
Lineage: Eukaryota; Metazoa; Chordata; Mammalia; Artiodactyla; Bovidae
Also listed under: 5 other names
Rfam family: tRNA
About the family: Transfer RNA (tRNA) molecules are approximately 80 nucleotides in length. Their secondary structure includes four short double-helical elements and three loops (D, anti-codon, and T loops). Further hydrogen bonds mediate the characteristic L-shaped molecular structure. tRNAs have two regions of fundamental functional importance: the anti-codon, which is responsible for specific mRNA codon recognition, and the 3' end, to which the tRNAs corresponding amino acid is attached (by aminoacyl-tRNA synthetases). tRNAs cope with the degeneracy of the genetic code in two manners: having more than one tRNA (with a specific anti-codon) for a particular amino acid; and 'wobble' base-pairing, i.e. permitting non-standard base-pairing at the 3rd anti-codon position.
Source: Rfam by way of RNAcentral
UCCCUGGUGGUCCAGUGGUUAAGAUUCUGCAUUGCCAAUGCUAGUGGUGCAGGUUCGAUCCCUGGUCGGGGAA